UCAUCAUGAGACUGCACUGAGAGGAUGGCCUUUCUCCUGGCUAUGUGCUCCCACUGGACAUCUUCAAGGAACUGAAUGCUCAGAAAACUAUCAGAACCACAACAAAAGCUAAGUGAUUUCAAUUUUCUUGGGGUCUAGCUUUCCCAUAUUUGCAAUCUGUAUGAAUAAUUGAGCCAGUAUAAGAGGCAGGGCAGGGACUUGCACUUUUGGCAGCUGCUCAACUCUACUUGGCUCAACCCUGAUGAGAAGCAGAAGUCACAUUUGCUAGUAGGCUCUGGCUGCCAUUUAAUAUCUGUUGGUAUGUUAGGGAUCUGACUCAUGUUUGCUUGACAAGCAGCUAAAAUGGGUUAAAGUAUGUUACUCCCUCAGGCACACAUCAGCUCUUUUGCAGCUGGGGUCAGGACGCCACGGUUUCGCUGGCAUGCUGCAGGCACAGUAUGCUCUGCUCCUGGACAACAACCUGUGGCAGUGGGGAGGAGUGAAGGCCUAGAGGGGAAACACCUCCAGGUGUCACAGACAGAUUUGCAAAAGCUUAUCUCCCAAAACCCACUGUGGGGUCAGGGACUUGGCAUGUCACCAAGCGGGGCAGCGAUGUGGGGCAAGUGGCCCAGGCUGAAGCACUGGGCUUGCCGUCAGCAGCUGCCUCAUGGCAGCUCCAACAGCACUGCAAGGACCCUGCACUGGCUUUGAGGGCUGCUUAACUUCUGUAUCUCAUUUUGCCCAGCAGUGUAAUGUGAAUGGAUAAGUGCACUGGGUCCCUUUCAGGAUUAGAGUUCAAGAGUAGUCUUUUUUCUUUGGUUAUCUCUUCUAUCUUCCUAUCUCCUCCUCAGCAGCCACUUUUCCAAGAAGUAAUAACUCAGAUCCUUUAGUUCCUUAUCCUAGCCAAAUGCUUUGAUCAAUUUGUUAUCUCUCUAAACAUUUUCCAACAUGUUUCUAGUCUUUCCACCUUGAAUGAGCCUCACAGAAAAAUGUAAACCAUUUUUUGCUUUCAGCAGAUUAUUUCUUGUUCUUCAGCUCUUCUGUGGUUUUCUUUUCCUUCUUUACUUUUUUUUUCCUUUUAAAAAUACUUACACCAUUUUACAUAAAAACUAGACUGACAUUUUAUUUCUGGCACGGGAUACAACCAAAUCCCCACUGCAGUUUCUGCUGGGUUUAGAGCAACAAUCUCUGUUUGAAAACUUAUAAUGCUCCUUACUCUGGAUAACUGCUAAUACACUCUCCCUCAGUGCUUCUCUUGUCACUUGUAGAUGACCACAACUGUGAGACUAUUUUGCCUACCUGAGCUCCUAGAGCAGCACUAUGAGUCUGGAAAGAAAAUUGAUGUUGUUGUGACUGCUGGUCAGUAUCUGCUACUGCCUCUGUCCACUUGUAAUUUGGACUCCAGCAGCCAUCAUGCUUGUUGUUAUUAAUGCUCCAGUCUGUUUUCAGGCCUGGUUCUGUUGCAAAACACAUACAAGGAGAAAUAUGCAAGGAACAUUUAACUCUGUUAAAAUAGACCUGCUGUUUUACUGCUACAUUUCUUUUUCUUCUCUACUGGUUUCCCUCUCCUUCAUCCUCCUAAUGUAGCAUAUUUGUGGGUGCAUAUAGUAGUUCAUUGCAAAAUAUACUGGAUUUAAAGCAAAACAGAGAAAAACUCCCUGAACUGAAAUUGCUUCUUUAAAACUGCCGCAUUAAGUUUGGCCAUGAUCCACCCUGGAGACUUUCCCUGGCAGAGACUGUGAUGCACACAUCUCAGUUUGGAAUUGCUCUUUCGGACACAGAUUCCCGCAAGAAUAGCAGGAACAAGACAGGCCAAGUCAUGCUAGGCAGCAAAGCCCACUGCAGUCCAGUGAAGACAGUCUGUCCAUUCACCUCUUAUGGACUUUUCCGGGGCUGUCUGCGUGUAAGGGGGCGGGGAAGGGAAAGGGACUAGAGGACAGAAAUGUAGUUGGGGUUUUAAAUUGUUCUGUUUCUGAAGGAUUCAAGUAAUGGAUGUGAAACUGUUCAAGCUUCCAUUAUGGAAAAUUAUUAUCUUUCACAUGUUCUUUACGCUGUGCUUCACUAAAAACUUGUUUCAUUGUUGGACUGUGUUGAACUCUUACUGGAAAAAUUCCUGCUCUUCUUUUUCUGGCCUGAUCCAGCUGACUUCUAAGCUAAAAGAGAUUUGCUAGAUUUAGAAGUACUGCCAACACUUGGAUGCUCUGCCAGCCAUGUACAUUUUGAGGAAUCCUUGGAGAUGCCAGAUAAUAACUAGUGCAGGUGGAGUGGUCCCAGGGGCUUCCCAGAGAGGAGCUGCUGGCACAGGACAAGCUGUUGCUGAAGGAAAAAAACCCCAAAACAACCAUGAAAGCUGAAAGACCAGUAUCCUGGUUUCUGUGAAAACGGAAAUAAAACACCAUCAUUCUACCAAAUCGAUGGUUUCAAAAGCCUUUGCCAAACUAAUACUCCAGUAUGAAGCAGUAUGAGCUCUCUGUAUCCUCCCACUGCCACCCCAGGGAGAGAGCCCAGGGAAGCACAGGCUCAAGGACCUCUGGAUCUUGCUCACAGUCCUCUAAGGCACCAUUUCCUGCUGUCUCUUUGGCUGCAGACAUCUGCCUGAGCUACCUGGCAAAGCUUUGCUGCCUUCACCCUCGGCUCUGCAGUCUGGGAGCACGUGUUGGCUGUUUGGGUCUAUCAGCAUCAGGGCGGUGAGCGUGAGUGCUGCUGAGGGACUGAGGCUGAGGGUGAGACCUGCAUUUGAACUGGCAGUGGAGGGAUGGAACUGCUGGGUGUGCCACUCAGCAAACAUUCCUGACUAAAGCAAAAAGCCUUGAUGCUUACAGACCACAGGUACCUAGCUAGUCCAAUACAGCAGGCUCAAGUGCUGCUGCUGCCCAGUGGGUGGAUCACACUCUUUUCAGCACUUCAGCAGUUUUGCGGUUCAGAAGCGUAAUAUUGUUUCCUAACAUGACAACCCUGCUGCUCUUCUCCAGGAAGGUUGCUCCCUUGGCUUGUACCCUUUCAACAGCAGCCAGAGUAAUAUAGGCAGCCUCAUUCCUCAGUUAACACAGCUUUACAUGGCAUUAAAGAGUAUGGUAAGCCAGUGAAAAUGGGAACAUGACCAGAGAUAGGUGGUAGCCAUUCAUCUGCUCCUUGAAGUUUUGUCUUGUUUUCACUGCUGUAGAUCCUUCUGUACUAGUCUGGUUGCCUCUGUCAAUGGCAGAAUAGACAGAGCCAUGCUGACACAGUUAUGGGAGAAAGAAUGACCAAUUACAGUGACAGUUUUGUGUUUGGAGCUUGUGCUGUCAUGCAAUGAAACGGCCUAUGCUUGGGCAGGGAAGGGAGGAACCGCUGUGAGCCGGUGGCUGCUUGGAGUAGCUGGGGUUGCAGUGAGGCUCAGCCUCCCUAGAUUAAAGCAGUGUUUCAUGUCAUGUGUGCCCAGUCAGUGUUGUUCAUGGCAUAACCAUUUCACAAACACUGGGCUUAGACACAUCUUUGGGAAUUAUCUGAAACAAAGAGGAGAAAGCAUCAAUUACUGUGCCUGCCCAUGUGCUCUGGUCUGUUCCCCUGCCAGAAUUGUAUUUCUGUCGGGUGUGAAAAUUAUUGGAGACUGGUAAAACUCCGGAGCACUGCAUAGAGCUGCUGAGUGACAGGAGAGAAUGUAUUAGGUAGCUUCUGGGCCACCAGUGCAGGGGCAAGCAGCCGGGGAUCUGAGACAGGUGCUGCUCCCAGGGAUGGCUGGCUGUGAGCCAGCUUCAUGUUGGGGCUGCUUUAGGUGGUACUGUGCUGGGGCAGGUGCAUUCUAUUGCAUGGAAAACUCAUAAGCCCACACAGAGCAUCAUGAUAAUGCAGCUCUCACCUUUCUGCUCUUAGAGUCUAGACAAUUACAAUAAUCCUAGACAAUGACUACUGCCACAAAGACAACUAAAUCCUACCUGCAGGCACAUUUAAUUGAAAACUGCCACAAUAUUCAUUGGCCCUAGAGGUGCUUUAGUUUUUACUAGCAAUUUCCUAGAGGUGCUCUCAGUUUGGUGGCAGCACAGCACAGGCCAUCAAUGCCAUGCUGGCUAAAUGAUAGGCUGCAAGGUGCUUCUCCCAGCCAAGACCUUGUACACAUGGCUCAGCAUCAAAUCUGGAGACUUUGCAGUUGUGGG
Onychostruthus taczanowskii (white-rumped snowfinch) is the source of this 4112-nucleotide long non-coding RNA. RefSeq lists it as uncharacterized. The transcript has 4 exons. Lineage: Eukaryota; Metazoa; Chordata; Aves; Passeriformes; Passeridae. The record is from RefSeq and is a predicted model, not a curated record.